GAUGAACGCUGGCGGCGUGCUUAACACAUGCAAGUCGAACGGAAAGGCCCAAGCUUGCUUGGGUACUCGAGUGGCGAACGGGUGAGUAACACGUGGGUGAUCUGCCCUGCACUUCGGGAUAAGCCUGGGAAACUGGGUCUAAUACCGGAUAGGACGAUGGUUUGGAUGCCAUUGUGGAAAGUUUUUUCGGUGUGGGAUGAGCUCGCGGCCUAUCAGCUUGUUGGUGGGGUAAUGGCCUACCAAGGCGUCGACGGGUAGCCGGCCUGAGAGGGUGUACGGCCACAUUGGGACUGAGAUACGGCCCAGACUCCUACGGGAGGCAGCAGUGGGGAAUAUUGCACAAUGGGCGCAAGCCUGAUGCAGCGACGCCGCGUGGGGGAUGACGGCCUUCGGGUUGUAAACUCCUUUCGCUAGGGACGAAGCGUUUUUGCGACGGUACCUGGAGAAGAAGCACCGGCUAACUACGUG
This 468-nucleotide ribosomal RNA is filed under the name uncultured bacterium. RNAcentral describes it as "partial 16S ribosomal RNA". It matches the Rfam family "Bacterial small subunit ribosomal RNA", at positions 28 to 507 of the family's 1533-position model. The record is from RNAcentral.